Molecule: ribosomal RNA, 250 nt
Filed under: uncultured bacterium
Lineage: Bacteria
Description: partial 16S ribosomal RNA
Rfam family: Bacterial small subunit ribosomal RNA
Source: RNAcentral
UACGUAGGGGGCGAGCGUUGUCCGGAAUUACUGGGCGUAAAGGGCGCGUAGGCGGUUUGUUAAGUUAGAUGUGAAAUCCCCGGGCUUAACCUGGGUGUUGCAUUUAAAACUGGCAGACUUGAGUGCAGGAGAGGAAAGCGGAAUUCCUAGUGUAGCGGUGAAAUGCGUAGAUAUUAGGAGGAACACCAGUGGCGAAGGCGGCUUUCUGGACUGUAACUGACGCUGAUGCGCGAGAGCGUGGGGAGCAAAC